GGAGCAAAGAACCAAGAAGAAACCUUUGUUGUUCAAAAUUCUGAAAAUUAGAAGGGUUUAAGAAGCCAAAUCAGAUGCAUGAACUCAAAAUCUUAAUCAUCUAAGCUUGUUCAUCAAAGUGAAUGAAUUGGCGUAAAGGAAGAAAGUUCAAGUCAAGCGAAGCAACAAGGGAAUCAAGAUCAAGGUACGCUUCUUGUACGAUUCAUGGUUUUAUUAUAGUUUUGCUUAUUACUAUCUAG
RNAcentral lists this long non-coding RNA (239 nucleotides) under Helianthus annuus (common sunflower). RNAcentral describes it as "sRNA HanXRQr2_Chr15g0713211". The record is from RNAcentral. Lineage: Eukaryota; Viridiplantae; Streptophyta; Magnoliopsida; Asterales; Asteraceae.